CACGCACACACGCGCGGCAUAUCAAUAAGCGGAGGAAAAGAAACUAACAAGGAUUCCCUUAGUAACGGCGAGUGAAGCGGGAAGAGCUCAAAUUUGAAAUCUUCAAGGUUUUACCUUGACGAAUUGUAGUUUAUAGAAGUGUUUUCUGUAGUGGAGUUUGGUAAAAGUUCUUUGGAAUAGGACAUCAUAGAGGGUGAGAAUCCCGUAUUUGGUCCAUUAUCUUCAGCUGUGUGAUACACUUUCAAAGAGUCGGAUUGUUUGGGAAUGCAGUCCAAAAUGGGUGGUAAAUUUCAUCUAAAGCUAAAUAUUGGCGAGAGACCGAUAGCGAACAAGUACCGUGAGGGAAAGAUGAAAAGAACUUUGAAAAGAGAGUUAAACAGUACGUGAAAUUGUCAAAAGGGAAGCGUUUGACACCAGUGUUGUUUUUCCGAAAAUCAAUUACGAAUGUUUUAGUUUUUAAGAAGUUAUGACUUCAUCGGCUUGCUUCUCUCUUUACGAAACUUUCUUAAUGCACUUUUCGGUUAACAAGUCAACAUCAAUUUCUUUUGUUGUAAAAGGGUAUGAGGAAGGUGACUUUCUUUUCGGAGAAAGUGUUUAUAGCCUUGUGCCUCUGCAAUCGGAGAGAUUGAGGUCUGCAGCGUAGAUCCUUCGGGGUCAGAUACGUUUGUGCUAAGUUAUAGCUUUUCAUAGACAACUUGUUGACUAUGUUCAGUCUUGUAGCUUACUCGCUGACGCUAUUUUACCUACGCUUAGGAUGUUGAUAGUCACAGCGUGUAC
Molecule: ribosomal RNA, 777 nt
Filed under: uncultured Neocallimastigales
Lineage: Eukaryota; Fungi; Neocallimastigomycota; Neocallimastigomycetes; Neocallimastigales
Description: partial large subunit ribosomal RNA
Rfam family: Eukaryotic large subunit ribosomal RNA
Source: RNAcentral